GGCUGAGGCUGAGCCGAGGAGCCUCCAGACUUGUGGACAGGGUCAUGCAGUACCAGGUCUUAACCCUCAUCCCUCGGCAGCUCCAGCC
RNAcentral lists this microRNA precursor (88 nucleotides) under Mustela putorius furo (domestic ferret). RNAcentral describes it as "miRNA (ENSMPUG00000020612.1)". Lineage: Eukaryota; Metazoa; Chordata; Mammalia; Carnivora; Mustelidae. The record is from RNAcentral.